Molecule: ribosomal RNA, 390 nt
Filed under: fungal sp.
Lineage: Eukaryota; Fungi
Description: SSU rRNA
Rfam family: Eukaryotic small subunit ribosomal RNA
Source: RNAcentral
CGUAUGGUUCUAUUUUGUUGGUUUCUAGGACCGUCGUAAUGAUUAAUAGGGACGGUCGGGGGCAUCAGUAUUCAGUUGUCAGAGGUGAAAUUCUUGGAUUUACUGAAGACUAACUACUGCGAAAGCAUUUGCCAAGGACGUUUUCAUUAAUCAAGAACGAAAGUUAGGGGAUCGAAGACGAUCAGAUACCGUCGUAGUCUUAACCGUAAACUAUGCCGACUAGGGAUCGGAGGGCGUUAUAAUAACCUCUCCGGCACCUUACGAGAAAUCAAAGUUUUUGGGUUCUGGGGGGAGUAUGGUUGCAAGGCUGAAACUUAAAGGAAUUGACGGAAGGGCACCACCAGGAGUGGAGCCUGCGGCUUAAUUUGACUCAACACGGGGAAACUCACC